Molecule: ribosomal RNA, 315 nt
Filed under: uncultured eukaryote
Lineage: Eukaryota
Description: partial 18S ribosomal RNA
Rfam family: Eukaryotic small subunit ribosomal RNA
Source: RNAcentral
CCCUUAGAUGUCCUGGGCCGCACGCGUGCUACACUGACACUUACACCGAGUUUUUCCGGCCCCGAGAGGUGGCUGGUAAUCAGUAAUAGGUGUCGUGAUGGGGAUAGAUCUUUGGAAUUAUUGAUCUUGAACGAGGAAUGCCUAGUAAUCGUAGGUCAUCAGCCUGCGAUGAUUACGUCCCUGCCCUUUGUACACACCGCCCGUCGCUCCUACCGAUUUCGAGUGGUCCGGUGAACCUUUCGGACAGAGAGAGUCUCGUACAAUCUCUGAAAGUCAAGUAAACCACAUCACUUAGAGGAAGGAGAANUCGUANCA